This 768-nucleotide long non-coding RNA is filed under the name Sorghum bicolor (sorghum). Its description in RNAcentral is "long non-coding RNA (SBIC_LNC012448)". Lineage: Eukaryota; Viridiplantae; Streptophyta; Magnoliopsida; Poales; Poaceae. The record is from RNAcentral.
CCAUGGCGAACAAAUCAAUCCGCGAGUGAAAAACACGCAGGACCCCUACCUGGCGCGCCAACUGUUGGUGUUUUGACCCCGGGGGGGUAACGCCAACGAGUGAAUUUGUGUGUGUGUUCCCUCUCCCAGAUGGUGAUGCAAGAAUGACAUAGUGAUUUAUCCUGGUUCGGGCAAGAGAAGGCCCUACGUCCAGCGGGGGAGGAGAUCUUCUAUUAUCUUGCACGUAAGUGCUUGUACAAGGGUGAAUACAGGCAAAUGUUGCUAAGGAUUCUGAGUCCUAGAUGGUAGUGAUGUAUGGAAGGUUGUUCUACUUGUGUCUCUCUCUGUAUCUCUUCCUCGGUGUCCCCUUUUAUAGUUCCAAGGGGAGACCCUGGUUACAAGUCGUAGGCAAUAGAAUAAGGCUCGAUAGGGGCAUGGCACGCUGACCUACUCGAGGCCUCUGUACCGUCAUGGCUUCGAGCCAUCUUGUUACUGGGUACUUUGGUGAUGAUUGCGCGUGCUUCUGGGUUUGGCUCCUGUACAUCGUCUCGGAUUGGCUUAGGCACGAGCGUGCCUGUACAUCGUGGCAGUGGUCACAUCUAGAGUGGUUGAAGCGCUGACUUUCAUUGCCCGACCCUUCCCUGGGAAGGAACGUAUUCGCUCGAGGGUCUAGUACAGCGGAUGGCGUUGUUGAGCGAUGCGCUGACUUUGGGUGCCUCGAGGGAUGCCGUGAUGUGACAUCUCAGCUUGUCACACUGUGCUAGGUUGUACUCUCGUUUAUUUGGGGGA